GCAGCCAUGCCGCGUGUAUGAAGAAGGCCUUCGGGUUGUAAAGUACUUUCAGCAGUGAGGAAGGUGGUAGUGUUAAUAGCACUAUCAUUUGACGUUAGCUGCAGAAGAAGCACCGGCUAACUCCGUGCCAGCAGCCGCGGUAAUACGGAGGGUGCGAGCGUUAAUCGGAAUUACUGGGCGUAAAGCGCAUGCAGGUGGUUUGUUAAGUCAGAUGUGAAAGCCCGGGGCUCAACCUCGGAAUUGCAUUUGAAACUGGCAGACUAGAGUACUGUAGAGGGGGGUAGAAUUUCAGGUGUAGCGGUGAAAUGCGUAGAGAUCUGAAGGAAUACCGGUGGCGAAGGCGGCCCCCUGGACAGAUACUGACACUCAGAUGCGAAAGCGUGGGGAGCAAACAGGAUUAGAUACCCUGGUAGUCCACGCCGUAAACGAUGUCUACUUGGAGGUUGUGGCCUUGAGCCGUGGCUUUCGGAGCUAACGCGU
RNAcentral lists this ribosomal RNA (480 nucleotides) under Vibrio sp. RNAcentral's name for it is "bacterial SSU rRNA". It matches the Rfam family "Bacterial small subunit ribosomal RNA", at positions 388 to 860 of the family's 1533-position model. Lineage: Bacteria; Pseudomonadati; Pseudomonadota; Gammaproteobacteria; Vibrionales; Vibrionaceae. The record is from RNAcentral.